UACGGAGGAUCCGAGCGUUAUCCGGAAUUAUUGGGUUUAAAGGGUCCGUAGGCGGGCCGUUAAGUCAGGGGUGAAAGUCUGCGGCUCAACCGUAGGACUGCCCUUGAUACUGGCGGCCUUGAGUUAUGGUGAAGUGGCUAGAAUAUGUGGUGUAGCGGUGAAAUGCAUAGAUAUCACAUAGAACACCGAUUGCGAAGGCAGGUCACUAAUUAUACACUGACGCUGAUGGACGAAAGCGUGGGGAGCGAACAGG
RNAcentral lists this ribosomal RNA (253 nucleotides) under uncultured bacterium. Its description in RNAcentral is "partial 16S ribosomal RNA". It matches the Rfam family "Bacterial small subunit ribosomal RNA", at positions 524 to 776 of the family's 1533-position model. The record is from RNAcentral.